Long non-coding RNA from Cervus elaphus (red deer), 271 nucleotides. RefSeq lists it as uncharacterized. The record is from RefSeq and is a predicted model, not a curated record. NCBI's taxonomy places the organism in Eukaryota, Metazoa, Chordata, Mammalia, Artiodactyla, Cervidae. The transcript is spliced from 3 exons.
CGGGAAGAAGUCCACUUCUCCGGGUUUUACUAGCAGCUUGAGGAAGAGUCGGGAAAGUGCUGGGGAGGCUGUCAGCUCCAGGCAGUCGGCUUCAGGCAGCAUGAUGCAGUGGAAAGAAUAUGAGAUUCUGGAAUUAGAAAACCUGGGCAUGAGUCCCAGACUCUGUGCUACCAGCUGUGUGACCUUGGGAAAUUCCACUUCACCUUUCAAGAUCCAGCUCAGAUGCUACCAUCUCUGCAAACCCAUCCAUGAAUUUUCCUCUUGCCCUAUG